This 2479-nucleotide long non-coding RNA is filed under the name Homo sapiens (human). RNAcentral's name for it is "HSALNT0081282". Lineage: Eukaryota; Metazoa; Chordata; Mammalia; Primates; Hominidae. The record is from RNAcentral.
AGUGCAGUGGCACGAUCUCGGCUCACUGCAACCUUCGCCUCCUAGGUUCAAAUGAUUCUCCUGCUUCAGCCUCCCGAGUAGCUGGGCCUACAGGUGCAUGCCACCAUGCCAGACUAAUUUUAUGUAUUUUUAGUAGAGACGGGGUUUCACCAUGUUAGCCAGGAUGGUCUCGAUCUCCUGACCUCGUGAUCCGCCCGCCUUGGCCUCUCAAAGUGUUGGGAUUACAGGCGUGAGCUACUGCGCCCGACCUCCUUCUUUACUCUUAAUUCUCAUAACAACUCUUUGUAUUUAUCUUAUGCAUAUUAUAUUCUGCCUUGCACUGUUGUAUACUUUUCUUACUAUACUGUAAGCACCUUGAGAACACAGAUAAAUUCAUAUGCAUAUUUUCUCUUUUUCCUUCCUCUAGAAACCUUUAUAAGAAGUACUGCAUCUUGAAUGUAAUUGGUGCUCAACAAUAUGCAUACAAGGCAGGAGUAAAAGAAUGAAAAAAUAAAUUCCUGUUAGAAAAGCUUUUGUUCUGGAUAUCACUGUUUGCCCUCCAAGUUCCAUCACAUUGCUCCGAACCAUGAGAAGCAGACCUCUGUGGAAUCCAUCAACCAGCCAUGCCCCUUGGCCUCCAGCUGGUGUGGCCAAUGGGAAGCACCACAAGAAAUAUGAAGAUAAGAAAAAAAGUGUAGAGGUAUUUAUUUUUCCUUCUCCAUCUGAGCCAAGUCAUGAGUUGGCCCAACUGUAUUCUUCCCCAGAAGGCCACAGGUAUCUGGUAUCUGGCUCCGUUUCUUUGCUCCUUCAAGCCAUGGGUGAUAACUUUGGAUGUUUCACUGUCUGUUUUCCUUAACUCUGUCCUGUUAUUAAACUCUCUGAAAUAACCCCUUUUGAAUAUGCCAUCUAUGACUCAUACACAACUGAUGACCCAUAAAGGACAUUGGAAAUGAAUUGCUUCACAUAAGAGGUCAUUCUGAUAAUGCAAACAGGACACAGCAUCUUAGAGGACUGUUUAUAUAAUUGUGAUUUGAUUUUACCUUUAUUCUCAGGUCAGAAGACAGCCUACUGUGACACGUAAGUGUCUACUCUGAUUUGCAUAGAAGUUUAAAAUAAGCAUCUUAAUGAUUUGAGAACAUUCACUAAUUGCUAACACUAUUAAUAUAUUUCCUUGUUUUAUAGCCCAAGAGCCAUUUAUAUAUUAUCUCAUCUUAAAACAUUCCAUCAGUUAUUUUUCUGCUUACACAUAGAAUUUCUAAAUCAAAGAUCUGAAACACCAAUUUUCACACCAUUCUCCAAGGGACCUAGAUUCCUAAUAUGCUUUGCAGACAUUGCUGACCAACUUCUAACAUUGGUUCCCCGAAUUCUGGAAGGACGGCAUGCAGCCUAGGUGUCUGUGUCUCUCACAGUCACAGAUUUGUCAGCUUUCAAGAUCCCAAUUCAUGCGAAUCUAACCCAUUCCUUGGCUGACUAAGUCAUGGGUUUGACACUGGGGAGAUAAAGCAAUUCUGGGGGGGAGAUGAGUUUCUGAAUUUGUUUUAAAUGUAGGAUUUGUAUCAAAUUGUAUUGCUGAUUAAAGGAAAUUUAUAGUUCUUGUUCACAUAUUCAGUCUACUUGGUUUGAAACUAUUUUGAUGUUUUCACUCUUCAGAUAUUAAGGAAAGGACAGACUAGCUACACAGAGUUAACGGAUAAAGGUAAAAACACACCAUAAAAUCUGCAGAGCAAGAAAACACCUAAACUUCAGUCCCUGAAAAACAGAAUAUAGUUCUUAAUUUUCUUUAAAACUUUUCAAAGUUUCUCCUGAAGUCUGCCUAUAGCCAGGCAUCAAAUACACACUUACACUUAUAUAUACAAAUGUACAUCCAUUUAUGUUUGUGCUAAUAAAGGUAUGUUUUACAUAUGCGAAUAUAUGUGGAGACAGACAGGAAAAUAAAUAGGCAGAUGAUAGAUAUUCUCUCACUCACACAUGUUAAUUUUCAGAUAAUUCCCUCUAGACCAGGGAUUUUCAUGGAGCAAAGCAUUUGUCCUGCUGAUGGGGCUGCCUUGGUCUACACUGACAUAUGCGAUGAGCAAAGGACAGUGGCUUUUUUAAUGUAGAAGCCACAAGAGAAUAUGUCAUCUGAUGUGCAAAUUACCUCUCCAGAAGUAUGAUUACUUACAGGCGAGUCCUAAAACACAUGCCCUCUGCCGAUAGCACACCAAAUACAGCCAACCACGGUGCAACUUUGGACACAGAAGGCCUUGCAAUGUUGUAAGUCCCUGUUUCCUACUCAGGCCCAGUAGUCACUCACAUGAGAGAGAGAUUAAAAAAAUGUCCUAAAUCAUCUUCUGCCUUUAUCAAACCAUGGUCUGUGGAGAAGAACUAGGAGAACCCUACUCCACACAGAGAAAAUGAAUGCCAUAUUAUCGGACACCAGGAAAAAGGGCAGGAAUUGAGAUAAAGAUGAUGUUAUUGCCACAUACAGUACAAAUGUAAUUAUUCUGUAUGGAGGAAGGAU